RNAcentral lists this transfer RNA (73 nucleotides) under Glycine max (soybean). RNAcentral describes it as "tRNA-Ile". RNAcentral also lists the same sequence under 1 other name. The record is from RNAcentral. Lineage: Eukaryota; Viridiplantae; Streptophyta; Magnoliopsida; Fabales; Fabaceae.
GGUCAAUUAGCUUCGUUGGUUAGAGUGUUGUGUUAAUAACUUGAAAGUCAUAAGUUUGAUUCUUGCUUGACCA